CAUUGGAGCUUGCUCCUUUAUUUAGCGGCGGACGGGUGAGUAACACGUGGGCAACCUGCCCUGCAGAUCGGGAUAACUCCGGGAAACCGGUGCUAAUACCGAAUAGUUUGCGGCCUCUCCUGAGGCUGCACGGAAAGACGGCAUCUCGCUGUCACUGCUGGAUGGGCCCGCGGCGCAUUAGCUAGUUGGUGGGGUAAUGGCCUACCAAGGCAACGAUGCGUAGCCGACCUGAGAGGGUGAUCGGCCACACUGGGACUGAGACACGGCCCAGACUCCUACGGGAGGCAGCAGUAGGGAAUCUUCCGCAAUGGACGAAAGUCUGACGGAGCAACGCCGCGUGAGUGACGAAGGUUUUCGGAUCGUAAAACUCUGUUGUGAGGGAAGAACAAGUACCAACUAACUAUUGGUACCUUGACGGUACCUCACCAGAAAGCCACGGCUAACUACGUGCCAGCAGCCGCGGUAAUACGUAGGUGGCAAGCGUUGUCCGGAAUUAUUGGGCGUAAAGCGCGCGCAGGCGGUUUUUAAAGUCUGAUGUG
RNAcentral lists this ribosomal RNA (539 nucleotides) under uncultured bacterium. RNAcentral describes it as "bacterial SSU rRNA". It matches the Rfam family "Bacterial small subunit ribosomal RNA", at positions 71 to 596 of the family's 1533-position model. The record is from RNAcentral.